UGUUUAGGUCGCCAGUUGGACGACUAGCGACGGGCUGGCUACCGAGGAUGCAAAGUGAGAAACGACUCCGGGGAAAUACAUUCUGUGUGGAUCCAGACAGCGGAGCGGACAGUCAUGAGAGCAGACAGACCAGGAAGUGGCUCCCGAUACGUCACCCUCGACCAACCAAAACAGCGGACGCCGACUCCGCCCACUGCCCCCUCCGCCCCGCCCCCGGUGUGCCAGACCUCCAAGCGUCCACAGAGGAUGACAGACAGGCGGCUCAUAUUUCCAAAAAAGAAAACAAAUACUCGCAUGAGUUAUCAAAGAUGAAGACAGAAAUCUGUGCGCCGCAAAGGACAACUGAGACUUGAACCGGCACGUGGUUUGACAUGAGCUUAGCCAUCAAAGGCGGAGAACUCCUCAGCCUGCUGACAGAGGCCAGCCAAUGGGAACACUCCGCUCUGACAUUCUGAUAGGAAAGCCCAGACACAACCCGAAAGGACUGCAGCAGAGAAAGACAAAGCCCCUCCUCCAAAUGCUCAACAUUUAAUCUUGUGGAAUUAACCAGACAAACAUGAUCUGAGGGGGAGCCAAACAUUUCAUGACAGCACUGAAUCCAA
Cyclopterus lumpus (lumpfish) is the source of this 602-nucleotide long non-coding RNA. RefSeq lists it as uncharacterized. The transcript is spliced from 5 exons. The record is from RefSeq and is a predicted model, not a curated record. Lineage: Eukaryota; Metazoa; Chordata; Actinopteri; Perciformes; Cyclopteridae.